GGUUCAGGAUGCACAGACACCCGUUAUGAAAGAAGAUGACGAAGACGAAGAAGAAGCUAUUGGAUCUGUUCCACGCUUGCCAAACACUUUCUCGAAAGUUGUCAUUAAAU
Long non-coding RNA from Daphnia pulicaria, 110 nucleotides. RefSeq lists it as uncharacterized. The transcript has 3 exons. Lineage: Eukaryota; Metazoa; Arthropoda; Branchiopoda; Diplostraca; Daphniidae. The record is from RefSeq and is a predicted model, not a curated record.